AUCCUACGGGAGGCAGCAGUAGGGAAUCUUCCACAAUGGACGAAAGUCUGAUGGAGCAACGCCGCGUGAGUGAAGAAGGGUUUCGGCUCGUAAAGCUCUGUUGGUAGUGAAGAAAGAUAGAGGGAGUAACUUGCCUUUAUUUGACGGUAAUUACUUAGAAAGUCACGGGUAACUACGUGCCAGCAGCCGCGGUAAUACGUAGGUGGCAAGCGUUGGCCGGAUUUAAUGGGGGUAAAGCGAUGGCAGGCGGGUGUAUUAGGUU
This 262-nucleotide ribosomal RNA is filed under the name uncultured bacterium. RNAcentral's name for it is "partial 16S ribosomal RNA". It matches the Rfam family "Bacterial small subunit ribosomal RNA", at positions 335 to 590 of the family's 1533-position model. The record is from RNAcentral.